This 3974-nucleotide long non-coding RNA is filed under the name Capra hircus (goat). RNAcentral's name for it is "lncRNA (ENSCHIG00000001661.1)". Lineage: Eukaryota; Metazoa; Chordata; Mammalia; Artiodactyla; Bovidae. The record is from RNAcentral.
CUUUUCCCACAUUUUUCAGCUCUUGCCAGGGGCACAAAUAUUUCAGGAAGAUUUGAGAGCUUUAGAAAAGUGUCCUUCAGUUUUUUGUGUGUGUUAGUGUUUACUUUUUAUAACCUGGCAUUAAAUAUGGUUUAUCUUGAUUCUUGUUUGUGUGUGUGUGUGUGUGUGUGUGUGUCUGUGUGUGUGUGUGUUUGAGCCAAAUCAGAGUACUUUAUCUCCUUCACUCUGGUCCUGGCCCAGAAAAAGUUGUUGAAAAAAGAUACUUACAAAGACAACAAACAAUCUUUCCAGAAUAUUGUCAAACAAUAGGCCAAUUAACUAAACAAAGUAGAUAUUGAAAAUAGUGAAAAAGUUCCUUUGGAGUUUUCCAUAAAACUUGAACAAACUUUUUGGCCAACCUAAUAUUACAUGUCUAAGUACACUGGACAUCCAGUAAGUGGACUUCCUCACUAAUUUAUAGACAAAGCCCACAGUAACCACUGUGGCUAGGUGCUGAUUAUAAGAGAGACAGCAAAACCUUUUAAAUUGGUCACUUCCUUCAGCUGAUCUUGCCUCACAGAAGUUGGAGUUUUUCCUCUUAUACGAGUAUAGUACUACAUUCUUCUGUUUGCAAUGGAGAGUCAGGUGGUAUAUGCUGAUUUAAACUUACCCAGGGAUUCUGGCAUUGGAAGGUCAUCACCUCCAUCUCGUCUUCAGAAUCUUCGUCAUGGUCCACGUUGGCACAACUUUGCCCUGAAAUUUGGUUGUGCUGUGAUUAUACUUCUUGCCUUGACUGUGACUGGGUUGAGUAUUUCAGUGAUACUCAUAAGACAAAAUACAUCAAUAGAAAAAACCAGCAUGGAUGCUCAAGAGAACAGGAAGGAAGCAACAGAUUACCCAUUUCUGGUGAUGUUAAAGAAGACGGCUGUGUUUGCCUAUCAAGGACACAACUUAUUUCUGAUUACUGUGCUGUAAAAUAUAGAGGGAUCUGCCAAAAAGAACUAAACCUGUCAGAAGUAAAGUCAUAUGUUCCUCCAAUUGACUAGAUAUCUGCCAGGAGCCAGUGUGAGGAAUCCCACCCAUGACAAGGUCAUGUGGCAGAGGCCUGAUGGGCAAGGCGAAUCAGGCCUCAGGUUUUCCCCCUGGUAUUUCCUGAGCACGUACCCCCCCAAAAUAAGAAUACGCCUGCCUUAUUGUAUUGUGCUUUUCUACUUUUCUGACACUCUCUGGAAAAAGUUAAUUCAGGGCUUCAGUCUCCUGCAAAAGAAUGUCUGGGCUUAAAACCCCCUCUGAUAACUCUCUAGCUUGCCUAACAGGUUCCCCCGGAAUUUUUACAGCUUGUGAAUUGCUUACAGUCUCCCAACCGCCAGAGGCACAGGAAGCUUAAAACAUCCUAGAAAUGCAGGGGCUUUCGAGAUGUCAAGAUCAUUAGAAUAAAACUGAUUAAGCGCUUCAUUGUUGAGCCAAUACUGCUGCCAAAUUUUCAUAUCUUUUAUUUGUUGAUAUAGUUGGUAUAUAGAAAAAAACAAGUAGCAACAUUAGAUCUUUGAGUUAAGUACCUUCUUUGUUAUAACCCACUGCACCUUUGUUCUAUAGACAUGUAACUUUAGUGCUUUAAGGAGAUGCAGAUUAAAGAAAAACACUUCAGGGGAAACGAGAUCAACAUUCAUUAAGGAAGAGAGCCAAAAAUUGUUAACAAGCCUCUUGGCCAGUAGAUAAUGUAAAUCACCUGAGACCUUUUGUAUACAAAAAGAUAUUCAGAAAGGGUCAGGACUGCUGCCCCUGCAUGACUCUGUAUCUUCCAUUAGGUAAAAUUUAGGGUAUAUAAACACCUUUUGAAUAAUAAAGUUGGAGGGGGUUUUUGCACAAGCCUGGCCUCUCCCGUGUCAAUUCUUUCUCUUGCUCCCUCUCCCUCCCUCUCCUUUUCAGGCCAAUCCCUUGGAACGUGGAGGCUUACCGAGUCUACUUACUUGCCCGGGCUUCUGAGACCCAUUCAAGAGGGAGCCCAAGGUGGGGCACCCUCUGCUAUUUAAGCGGGAGCCUGUGGCCCAGCGUAGAUGGUGCAAGUUCCUUGUCUGAAACUUUAUUGGUUUUCCACAUAAACCAAGCUAAUCAGCCUCUUUCCUCCACUCAUUUUCCUACUACACCAUUUUUUCCAAAUCUAAUCUUAUAUUUCUAAUUAAAUUAAGUUUUCCUCGCCUAUCCAUCUCCCCUUCGAAUCACCCUAGAUCCACCGGGGCUGGACCCCAGCAGAUAUCCCCCUCCAUCUCUUUAAUUUCCAUUUCAGAUCUCUGUCAUUUUAACUGUAUAUAUUGUCAUAGUGGCUCCAUGUACAUUUUGUGGUACAAAGUGAACACACACUGAGGAUUCUAAUUUUUGUGAAUUUUACAAAAGUUCAUGUCUAACCUCCUCAUUAAAUAACUGAGAAAACAUAUACCUAAAGAAAAGAUGUCUCAGGGCAUGUGCUGAGGAGUCGGAUAGGUGCGUCAUAUGGUAGUUCUAUUUAUCAGUAUUUUAAGGAACUGCCAUACCAUUCUCCAUAGUGGCUGUAUCAAGCAUUCCCACCAGUAGUGCAGGAGGGCUCCAUUUCCUCCACAUGCUCUCCAGCAUUUCCUGUUUGUAGAUUUUCUUCAUGAUGGUCAUUCUGACGGGUGUGUUAGCUUGGACAUAAGUACACAACCAUAUGUAAAAUGGAUAGCUAGUGGGAAGCUACUAUACAGCACAGAGAACUGAGCUCAGUGCUCUGUGAUGACCUAGAAGAGUCUGAUGAGGAGGGGGGCAGGCAGGAGGCCCAGGAAGGAGGGGAUACAUAUAUAUACUUAUAGCUGAUCCACUUCAUUGUACAGCAGAAGCUAACACAAUAUUGUAAAAUAAUUAUACUCUCAUGAAAAGUCUCAUUUUAAGAGACAGUGAUGCACUAUGGAUAAAACCCCAAACCAGCUAAGGGGAAUGAUUUCUAAUCCAGCAGCUUUCACCCACCCCCUUCUCUGCCUUAUCUCACCUCCAAAAAGUUUUAGUCAAUAUUUCUAAAGUCUUCUGCUUCUUCCACAGCCUCUAUGUUUUGCUUUUAUAUUUUGUGGUAGAGCACUGACUAAAAUCAGUUCUCUGGAUUUUUAUAUCAGAGAUCCAUUACUAAAGGAAUUUGGAGAAGGGGACUUAACUCUUCCCCAUCAUUGCAAAGUUCUUUUCAUUUUAAUUUUAUCCCUGCUUUUUUUUUAAAUUAAAUUUUAUUAUAGUGUAAUCACUUUAAAAUGUUGUGUUAGUUUCUCAGUUCAGUUCAGUUGCUCAGCCAUGUCUGACUCUUUGCAUACCCAUGGACUUCAGCACACCAGGCUUCCCUGUCCAUCACCAACUCCCGGAUUUUACUCAAACUCAUGUCCAUCGAGUCAGUGAUGCCAUCCAACCAUUUCAUCCUCUGUCGUUCCCUUGUCCUCCUGCUUCAAUCUUUCCCAGCAUCAUGGUUUUUUUCAGUGAAUCAGUUCUUCAUAUCAGAUAGCCAAAGUAUUGUGACUAUCAUCUUCAGCAACAGUCCUUCCAGUGAAUUUUCAGAACUGAUUACCUUUAGAACUGACUGAUUUGACCUUGCAGUCCAAGGGACUAUCAAGAAUCUUCAACGACACCACAGUUUGUGCACUUAGAUGACCCAGAGGGAUGGUACGAGGAGGGAGGAGGGAGGGGGGGUUCAGGAUGGGGAACACGUGUAUACCUGUGGCGGAUACAUGUUGAUGUAUGGCAAAACCAAUACAUUAUUGUAAUGUAAUUAACCUCCAAUGAAAAUAAAACCACACCAAUUCUUCACUGCUCAGCUUUCUUUAUAGCCAGCUGUCACAUCCAUACAUAACUACUGGAAAAACCAUAGCUUUGACUAGACAGACUUUCAUUGGCAAAGUAACAUCUCUGCUUUUUCAUAUUCUUUUAAGGUUCAUCAUAGCUUUUCCUCCAAGGAGCAUGAGUCUUUUAAUUUCAUGGCUGCAGCCAUCAUCUGCAGUAAUUUG